Molecule: ribosomal RNA, 511 nt
Filed under: uncultured bacterium
Lineage: Bacteria
Description: partial 16S ribosomal RNA
Rfam family: Bacterial small subunit ribosomal RNA
Source: RNAcentral
GAUGAACGCUGGCGGCGUGCCUAAUACAUGCAGUCGAACGAAACUUCUUUAUCACCGAGUGCUUGCACUCACCGAUAAAGAGUUGAGUGGCGAACGGGUGAGUAACACGUGGGCAACCUGCCCAAAAGAGGGGGAUAACACUUGGAAACAGGUGCUAAUACCGCAUAACCAUAGUUACCGCAUGGUAACUAUGUAAAAGGUGGCUAUACUACCGCUUUUGGAUGGGCCCGCGGCGCAUUAGCUAGUUGGUAGGGUAAAGGCUUACCAAGGCAAUGAUGCGUAGCCGAAGUGAGAGGUUGAUCGGCCACAUUGGGACUGAGACACGGCCCAAACUCCUACGGGAGGCAGCAGUAGGGAAUCUUCCACAAUGGGCGAAAGCCUGAUGGAGCAACGCCGCGUGGGUGAAGAAGGUCUUCGGAUCGUAAAACCCUGUUGUUAGAGAAGAAAGUGCGUGAGAGUAACUGUUCACGUUUCGACGGUAUCUAACCAGAAAGCCACGGCUAACUACGUG